GUCCCGCCGCCCCCGCCCGCCUACGGGAGGCAGCAGUGGGGAAUUUUGGACAAUGGGCGCAAGCCUGAUCCAGCCAUGCCGCGUGCGGGAAGAAGGCCUUCGGGUUGUAAACCGCUUUUGUCAGGGAAGAAAAGGUUCUGGUUAAUACCUGGGACUCAUGACGGUACCUGAAGAAUAAGCACCGGCUAACUACGUGCCAGCAGCCGCGGUAAUACGUAGGGUGCAAGCGUUAAUCGGAAUUACUGGGCGUAAAGCGUGCGCAGGCGGUUAUGCAAGACAGAGGUGAAAUCCCCGGGCUCAACCUGGGAACUGCCUUUGUGACUGCAUGGCUAGAGUGCGGCAGAGGGGGAUGGAAUUCCGCGUGUAGCAGUGAAAUGCGUAGAUAUGCGGAGGAACACCGAUGGCGAAGGCAAUCCCCUGGACCUGCACUGACGCUCAUGCACGAAAGCGUGGGGAGCAAACAGGAUUAGAUACCCUGGUAGUCCACGCCCUAAACGAUGUCAACUGGUUGUUGGGAGGGUUUUCUCUCAGUA
RNAcentral lists this ribosomal RNA (533 nucleotides) under uncultured beta proteobacterium. RNAcentral describes it as "bacterial SSU rRNA". It matches the Rfam family "Bacterial small subunit ribosomal RNA", at positions 318 to 845 of the family's 1533-position model. Lineage: Bacteria; Pseudomonadati; Pseudomonadota; Betaproteobacteria. The record is from RNAcentral.